UACGUAGGGGGCUAGCGUUGUCCGGAUUUAUUGGGCGUAGAGAGCGUGUAGGCGGCCAGGUAGGUCCGUUGUGAAAACUCGAGGCUCAACCUCGAGACGUCGGCGGAAACCCUCUGGCUAGAGUCCGGAAGAGGAGAGUGGAAUUCCUGGUGUAGCGGUGAAAUGCGCAGAUAUCAGGAAGAACACCCGUGGCGAAGGCGGCUCUCUGGGACGGUACUGACGCUGAGACGCGAAAGCGUGGGGAGCAAACAGG
RNAcentral lists this ribosomal RNA (253 nucleotides) under uncultured bacterium. RNAcentral's name for it is "partial 16S ribosomal RNA". It matches the Rfam family "Bacterial small subunit ribosomal RNA", at positions 524 to 776 of the family's 1533-position model. The record is from RNAcentral.